GUCUGGUUAAUUCCGAUAACGAACGAGACUCUGGCCUAUUAAAUAGUUUGCCCAUGCCGUGUCGUGGGCGCAAACUUCUUAGAGGGACAAGCGGUGUCUAGCCGCACGAGAUUGAGCAAUAACAGGUCUGUGAUGCCCUUAGAUGUUCGGGGCCGCACGCGCGCUACACUGAAACAAUCAGUCGGUGUUCUCCCUAACCCGGAAGGGUCGGGUAACCCGUCGAACCUGUUUCGUGCUAGGGAUUGGGGAUUGGAACUGUUCCCCAUGAACGAGGAAUUCCUAGUAAGCGCGAGUCACAAGCUCGCGU
This 307-nucleotide ribosomal RNA is filed under the name cf. Terebellida sp. DH-2009. RNAcentral's name for it is "bacterial SSU rRNA". It matches the Rfam family "Eukaryotic small subunit ribosomal RNA", at positions 1313 to 1641 of the family's 1831-position model. The record is from RNAcentral. Lineage: Eukaryota; Metazoa; Annelida; Polychaeta; Terebellida.